AAUUAGCCCUGAUUGUAGCGGCACCGAAGUAGAGCGAAAAGCAGGAAAAUGG
RNAcentral lists this small RNA (52 nucleotides) under Flavobacterium aquatile LMG 4008 = ATCC 11947. RNAcentral's name for it is "Flavobacterium aquatile LMG 4008 Flavo-1 RNA". It matches the Rfam family "Flavo-1 RNA". Lineage: Bacteria; Pseudomonadati; Bacteroidota; Flavobacteriia; Flavobacteriales; Flavobacteriaceae. The record is from Rfam by way of RNAcentral.